AGGAAAAGGACAUAACCCAGUGUUUUCAACAGUCACAUUGAUAAAGGCAGCCGGAAGACACAUGCAACUUAUUAGGAACAUCACACUGCAGAGAGUAUUCUUCACAUUGUGCUUUUGGGGGAAUAGAGUCCUCCCCUCAACAAAUACACCAAUGAUACAAAGCUGGAAAUAGUGACUGACACACCAGAAAUCUGUGCUGCCAUUCAGCGAGACCUGGACAGGCUGGAGAGCUGGGCAGAGAGGAACCUGAUGAGAUUCAAAAACAGCAAGUGUAGAGUCUUGCACCUGGGUAGGAAUAAUCACAUGCAUCAGUAGAGGUUAGUCAUACAGACGUUGUGCACACACUCUAUAAGUAACAUAUUGAAGUAGUGAAUGAGACUAGUCCUAGGACAGAGUCCUCUUGUAGA
This 407-nucleotide long non-coding RNA is filed under the name Cairina moschata (Muscovy duck). RNAcentral describes it as "domestica (muscovy Duck (domestic type)) lncRNA (ENSCMMG00000002215.1)". Lineage: Eukaryota; Metazoa; Chordata; Aves; Anseriformes; Anatidae. The record is from RNAcentral.